Lolium rigidum is the source of this 771-nucleotide long non-coding RNA. RefSeq lists it as uncharacterized. The transcript is spliced from 3 exons. The record is from RefSeq and is a predicted model, not a curated record. Lineage: Eukaryota; Viridiplantae; Streptophyta; Magnoliopsida; Poales; Poaceae.
UAGGUCACUACAGAAAUUUCAGUAAACCCCUCUGAAAUUCAUGCAAUCCGGUCUUGUAGUGAGGUCAUAGUGCUGUCCGUGAUAUGCGUCGCCUCCAUCUUCUUUCCUAGGAGGAGUUCGUCCCGGAGACACGCCUAAGCUGUGGCUUUAAUGGCACGCGGUCUGACAUCUUCGAGACAUCUUCGAGCUAGCAGGAGGUCCUCGUGGAAAUUACCAAUCAAGGAUCAACAGGUGCAGGGUUUUAUCUGUCUGACUAAGAAGCACUAAUGUUUCGUUGGAAAAAAAACAGAAAUUCACCGAUGAAUAUAUUCCAACAAAGCAAGCAUAUAAUGGUAUCUUCAAUACCACAAUAAUCAUAUUAAGGAGCUUCAAUUUAACUCUUACUUUGAAAGCUUCCAGGUAUGUACAUAUUGAUCCCUUUAUAAGUAGAUAUUCCAAGUAUGAUACAUCCUACUGAAUUUUCAUGCUCAUUUUGUUCCCUAAUUUUGCUUGACUCUCAACCUCACCAGCAUAUGCAUUCAUAAAAAGUCACGACAAAUUACAUUACAUUUGAUGGAUAUUAAUUUAGUUCAUGCUAAUCUCUAUUUUCUGGAAUAUAUAUGGAGGCAACUCAUAUUUGCUUGGCUCUCAAUCUCGAAAUUCAUGGAUUAUGUAAUUUUUAAGCAUGAUAUUCUAAAUACCAGAUGUUUACCUGAUUUAUUUAGUGACAAGUUCAAUCUCAGAGAUCUUGGUGCAGAAUAUCAAUUAUUGAUGCUUACUAUUCAUGUAUCA